UAAAAGAAGUGACGUCAUGGAAGAAGGACCAGGAUGAGAGGGAAAAAAGUCAAAAAACUUUAAUGUGAACAAUCACAGGACAGCUCUGGAUUAAUAAGAUUAUAAUGGUUGUAAUUAAUCUCGAUUAAUCCAUGAAAUAAAACUGACUAUUUUUACAGAAUAAUUGUUACAGUCAUUUUAACAACUUCAACAGAAAGCAGUCAGUGACGUGCGGUCAGGAGAGGCAGUAUUUCGCGAUCAAAUACAGAGCAGAAACCCCGGAUGAAGCAGUGGAGAGCUGUGCCUCGUAUCUGACUGCGCGAUCCAAUACAAACUGGGUCACAUGACGCUUGCCGGUUUCUGUUCCUCAGCCAAUGAAGUUCAGAGAAAGUCAGAGAAACAUUACUCUGCCUCACCUCAAGGGGUCGUACGUGAACUGACAGGUGCUCUCCAACUGGCUUCAACAGGUAAUUGAAAGUCGGCGUUUGGACUUCCGGUCCAAACAGGAAGUGAUAAGUGAUGGAAGACAAACGCCGGAGCUAAAAGGUUAGUUUGCUAACUACGGGACAGAAAAGUCGUUAUUUUUAAGUGGAGGCUGUGUGGCUGUCCUGUAACAAACCUCCUUUACUGCUUUUUUGUGUCUUGUCAUUCUCAUCGUGUGAUAACGUCUGGACUAACUCGGGAUACUGUGACCUGAAACAUUUACAAAGAAGCCUCAGCAGACACGAAAGAUCAGCCACGGACAUUCAAAGCGGGAUUUCUUUAAAAACCGUUGGAAAUUCAAGAAUCGAUUUGGCAUUGGAUGAGCAACGCAGUGUAAACAUUAGCAUCCACAGUGCUAAGGUGAGGGGAAACCGAGAGAUACAACCAUGGACUUCAUCUAUAAGUGAAGGGUCUGCAUCAGUGUGGGUUUGAUGGCGUCUUUCAUGAGGACAGCCAGCGCUCCGCUCACACCCUAAAAACGAAGAAGAAAAGAAGGGCUGUCUGCCAGAGCCAGGAUGGCCAUGAUCUCACUGGCCACUGCAAUGUCGAACCCAGUCUGGAGUGUGAGAAAGGCUCAUGUCAGUACGAGUGACUACCUCUCUGCCAGGUGAUUUUCGAAGGGUCAAGAUCAAGGCGGACAAAGGCGCUAACUUCCUCCGGUGUUAAAGAAGCUGGCUCCGUUUUCUUGAUGCCAAGACGCUGCAGUUGCAAAGAGAUGAAGACACUGAGAAAUGCUCAGACAUUCAUCAAACAGAGCUGACAAACACUGGGGUUACUCCAGUUGAAUUUCACACCCCCAGAACAUUUACCUCAAAGACAAUGUUGUGCCACAGCUCCAGGGGUGAGGUCUGUGCACAUCUCCCCCUAGGCACAGAGACGUACAAGCACAGUCAGAGGCAGACAAUAGGACAGAGAAGGUACAAAGGAGGUAUGCUGAGAGGUGGACUCUGAGUGAACCAUUUCACUCCAACAUUAAAUGCAGCCGGGCUUCAAGCUCCUCCGGCAGCAAACCAAUCUCCUCAGCCAAUUGAUUCACUGGUUUGGGCACCUGAGCUCUGGAGAUUUCUAUAUCUCUACCAAUACAGAAAAGUGAAAUUCUUCAUAAAACACACAUGUGUGAGUGGCUGUAGUGCCAGGCGGCGUAAACUCCAGGGUCGGUACUGCUUCUCCUGGAUCCACCGACUGCAGCUGUGCACCACAUUCUAAAAAGCUGUGGGAAUGCAAUAUAAUUAAGAAGUACCUGGCUCCAGAGUGGACUCGCAGCAAAUAACAGAAGCAUCUGGCUUAAACCAGACUCUGCAGAGCACAGUCAAAGGGUCCGCCCUCUCCAACCAACAAGACCGUCUUACCUUUCAGAGGUGCAUCUGCAGAAACCAUUGGAUUUAACGUUUCAGGGUGUCAAGCACACGACUUGUGAGUGAAGCCGGGGGAAGGUGGAGGUAGAUGCCGUGCACCCUGGGGUCCUCAUUAAGUUUCAACACUUCCUCUAUGACCUGAAGACAGAGGAACUGUGUCACAGUCCAAAUCAUCAUCCUUCCAGAACUUUAUCCCGGAGUUGACCGCUAUUUUCGGACUGGGACCGCCGCUGGUGGAGGUGCUGGCUUCCCGGAAAACUAACCGGUAUUUGGCACCAGUGGC
Molecule: long non-coding RNA, 2100 nt
Organism: Cynoglossus semilaevis (tongue sole)
Lineage: Eukaryota; Metazoa; Chordata; Actinopteri; Pleuronectiformes; Cynoglossidae
Exons: 13
Source: RefSeq, a predicted model, not a curated record